RNAcentral lists this ribosomal RNA (635 nucleotides) under uncultured Moraxella sp. Its description in RNAcentral is "bacterial SSU rRNA". It matches the Rfam family "Bacterial small subunit ribosomal RNA", at positions 543 to 1177 of the family's 1533-position model. Lineage: Bacteria; Pseudomonadati; Pseudomonadota; Gammaproteobacteria; Moraxellales; Moraxellaceae. The record is from RNAcentral.
AAUCGGAAUUACUGGGCGUAAAGCGAGUGUAGGUGGCUCAUUAAGUCACAUGUGAAAUCCCCGGGCUUAACCUGGGAACUGCAUGUGAUACUGGUGGUGCUAGAAUAUGUGAGAGGGAAGUAGAAUUCCAGGUGUAGCGGUGAAAUGCGUAGAGAUCUGGAGGAAUACCGAUGGCGAAGGCAGCUUCCUGGCAUAAUAUUGACACUGAGAUUCGAAAGCGUGGGUAGCAAACAGGAUUAGAUACCCUGGUAGUCCACGCCGUAAACGAUGUCUACUAGCCGUUGGGUCCUUGAGACUUUAGUGGCGCAGUUAACGCGAUAAGUAGACCGCCUGGGGAGUACGGCCGCAAGGUUAAAACUCAAAUGAACUGACGGGGGCCCGCACAAGCGGUGGAGCAUGUGGUUUAAUUCGAUGCAACGCGAAGAACCCUACCUGGUCUUGACAUAGUGAGAAUCUCUCAGAGAUGAGAGAGUGCCUUCGGGAACUCACAUACAGGUGCUGCAUGGCUGUCGUCAGCUCGUGUCGUGAGAUGUUGGGUUAAGUCCCGCAACGAGCGCAACCCUUUUCCUUAUUUGCCAGCGGGUUAAGCCGGGAACUUUAAGGAUACUGCCAGUGACAAACUGGAGGAAGGCGGG